UGGGGAAUAUUGCACAAUGGGCGCAAGCCUGAUGCAGCCAUGCCGCGUGUAUGAAGAAGGCCUUCGGGUUGUAAAGUACUUUCAGCGGGGAGGAAGGGAGUAAAGUUAAUACCUUUGCUCAUUGACGUUACCCGCAGAAGAAGCACCGGCUAACUCCGUGCCAGCAGCCGCGGUAAUACGGAGGGUGCAAGCGUUAAUCGGAAUUACUGGGCGUAAAGCGCACGCAGGCGGUCUGUCAAGUCGGAUGUGAAAUCCCCGGGCUCAACCUGGGAACUGCAUUCGAAACUGGCAAGCUACAGUCUUGUAGAGGGGGGUAGAAUUCCAGGUGUAGCGGUGAAAUGCGUAGAGAUCUGGAGGAAUACCGGUGGCGAAGGCGGCCCCCUGGACAAAGACUGACGCUCAGGUGCGAAAGCGUGGGGAGCAAACAGG
Molecule: ribosomal RNA, 429 nt
Filed under: Chloroflexota bacterium
Lineage: Bacteria; Bacillati; Chloroflexota
Description: Chloroflexi bacterium partial 16S ribosomal RNA
Rfam family: Bacterial small subunit ribosomal RNA
Source: RNAcentral